This 497-nucleotide long non-coding RNA is filed under the name Prunus persica (peach). RNAcentral's name for it is "long non-coding RNA (PPER_LNC006326)". The record is from RNAcentral. Lineage: Eukaryota; Viridiplantae; Streptophyta; Magnoliopsida; Rosales; Rosaceae.
UUUUUAAUUGAAUCCAAAUAGGGGGUACUUUCUUAUUUACAUUGUAAACUUAAGUAAAUAGAGUAAUACAAAAAUAAAUUAAAGUAAAAUAAGAAUGAAAAGUAAAAAAAAUUUUAAAAAAAUUGAAUCAACAUUAAAAAUUGAAAAUAAAUUGAAUCAACAUUAAAAAUAAAUUAAAUGUUUAGAAUGCAAAACCAAAAACAAAAAAAGGCAAAUGGGAGGGCUUACUGGGCCGUGCCAUGAAAGGGCUUUGUCGGGCCAAGCCGAGGGAUGAUCAGAGGUUUCAAAACCUAAGCGCAACCCUACCCAACCAUAGAGCGGGCCUAACCAUCGGGCCAGGUUGGGCUUUAGGCCAUCGAGCGUAGAGCUACCAACUUCGCCUUGCGGGCCACGACCCAAAUGGUGACUCCUAAGUGGGUGUGUCCAAGUACAACUCAGGAAUGUGAUGUUGGAAUCCGAUGCUCAGAGGUAUAUCUCGAUGCUCAAUGGGAAGGCUG